ACCGGCGCACGGGUGAGUAACACGUAUGCAACCUGCCCUCCGCAGGGGGAUAACCCGGAGAAAUCCGGACUAAUACCGCGUGGUACAUCUGUGGGGCAUCCCACGGGUGUUAAAAGGAAGCGAUUCCGGCGGAGGAUGGGCAUGCGGCGCAUUAGCUAGUUGGCGGGGUAACGGCCCACCAAGGCGACGAUGCGUAGGGGUUCUGAGAGGAAGGUCCCCCACACAGGUACUGAGACACGGACCAGACUCCUACGGGAGGCAGCAGUGAGGAAUAUUGGUCAAUGGGCGCGAGCCUGAACCAGCCAAGUCGCGUGAGGGAAGACGGUCCUAUGGAUUGUAAACCUCUUUUGUCGGGGAGCAAAAGACGCCACGCGUGGCGUUCCGAGAGUACCCGAAGAAAAAGCAUCGGCUAACUCCGUGCCAGCAGCCGCGGUAAUACGGAGGAUGCGAGCGUUAUCCGGAUUUAUUGGGUUUAAAGGGUGCGCAGGCGGAAGAUCAAGUCAGCGGUAAAAUUGAGAGGCUCAACCUCUUCGAGCCGUUGAAACUGGUUUUCUUGAGUGAGCGAGAAGUAUGCGGAAUGCGUGGUGUAGCGGUGAAAUGCAUAGAUAUCACGCAGAACUCCGAUUGCGAAGGCAGCAUACCGGCGCCCUACUGACGCUNAAGCACGAAAGCGUGGGUAUCGAACAGGAUUAGAUACCCUGGUA
This 704-nucleotide ribosomal RNA is filed under the name uncultured bacterium. RNAcentral's name for it is "bacterial SSU rRNA". It matches the Rfam family "Bacterial small subunit ribosomal RNA", at positions 94 to 792 of the family's 1533-position model. The record is from RNAcentral.